RNAcentral lists this small RNA (3172 nucleotides) under Rattus norvegicus (Norway rat). RNAcentral describes it as "uncharacterized LOC102548374". Lineage: Eukaryota; Metazoa; Chordata; Mammalia; Rodentia; Muridae. The record is from RNAcentral.
CAUGGAGACGCUGUACCCCCUACAUCUAUCACACCAUGAUCAAGUCCCACACACCUGUGAACCUCUUCCCAAGGUGAAGCCACUAAAGCCCAAAGGCAAGGAGAAUCUCUCCUGGGAUGACAAGGCUCCAGUGUGCACUUGGACUCCAAGGUUCUCCAUGGGCCUCAGAACAUCACUAGAGCUCUGGAGAAGGCUGACACUGCUAUUGACAGGACCAGACAGAUCCAGCAAGAAAGUCAACAGUACAUCUCCAAGCCCUUGACUAGAAGUGACACUGAAGGUUGAGAAAAAUCAUAAGAAAGACAAAUCCGGUGAUGAGCUUGAUUACAUGAGCUGUGGCUAUCAGUUUACUCCAUUCAGAAAACGCCCAGGGAGCAGGGGACAUGCUUCCUCUGCCAAUCCUGUGUCCUUCCCAGUCCAAUAAGCAACGAGGAGAUCUGAGCUGCCCGCAAGGCCAAGGAUUCUCUUACUUUUCCUCUGUUCCCAUAGUCUAGACGCACUCUGAGGACCAGACCCCAAGUCAGAUAGGCGUCUACCCCUCUGCCACACCAGAGGCUGCUCCAUUUUCAGGUGAAUCUGAGGAGACUUGAGUUGCAUGAGGGGUAAGAUUCAAGUGACUGAACAAGCAAGGCCAAACUUUGUGUCUCACUGUCUGACUGUACCAGCAAGAGCCCAGGAGCUUGGAAUUCUGGACUAGGGUUUGUAGUCCAGCAGCAGGAAGGUAAUCAGUAUAGGUCAAGUUGUAGCCAUCUGUAGAUCCACCCUGUCCCCAGCUCUGCCUCAGAGAAAUCACCAUGAGCUCCUGAGGCUUUGCAAAGUGACCACAGAGAACAGGUAGUUCUUGAGCCUAGAGCAUCUGAAACAAGAAACUUCCUGCAGGGCUGCAUCUGACAGGCCUUGAGAGGGUGCUACUCGGUCCUGGCAAGGUGCUGUAUCCGGCUGAUUUCCAGUUUUUGCCAGGACACUUAGGGCUCAGUCAGAUUUUGUGACAGGUCCCUGUGCUUAGAGUCCCUGUGGUAGAUCCAGGAGGGCCUGGAUCCUUGACACGAAUGCUGCCAGUUUCGUGAUGUCAUAAGCAACCCCUGAACGGCAGCCUGUCAUGCAAAGAUGUCCCCAGCUCCUUGGAACCCCCUCAGUAUAGGGACCUUCUUCACACCUGUAUCCACUGAAGGGGUCACUAUCACCAGCCUCUUUCUCUCCCAACCCCUGCACACUUGCUCCUUCCUCUCUCUUCCCCAACCACCACUCAGAGUGCAGGCCACCACCCACAGUGGCUAUCCAGACAUGGAGCUUCAAAUGCUGCUGGUUGGGAGAAUGUCCCUGGUGGUCUCUGCUGGGACAAUGGGAGGGGGGCAUCCUUCCAGCUGGGUGGUGGGGCUAAUCCCUGAGGCUCCAGGUAGGGGUCAGAGAGAACAGCAAAAGCAGGCAUACAAGGCAGCGGCCACUCAUGUAAAUGGGCAAGCUCCCUGGGACUUGCUGGCACCCGUGGUGCUGGUUUCUCUAUUCACUGGAGUUCCGUUGCUUGUCCCCACCCAACUUUAUAAACCCAACAGUUUAUGGCAGGCAGCUUGAGAGGCCUGACCUAGCUUUGCAGCUGUCUUGUUUAUCUCUGUUAAGGCCAAGGAGAGGAGAAGGGUGUGCUAGGCUCCUCUCUGAAAGGUGAUAGGAGUCCACCCUUUUUUGCAGGGCACUGGAGUGCCAUGAGAGCUGUUCUCCUGGACUCUGCCCAGGGGCCUCAGCCUAAGAGCUCUACUGAGAAGUGAUUCCUCUGAGGACACUCCCCAUGCGUGUCUGAUGGCUCCAUACAAGUCAAAAGAAGACUCCUGAGGAGUGCUUGUCAUGUCUACACACCAGACAGGAAGAAGACAAGCUUCCCUCCAGCUGUGAGAGCAUGAACAAGAAGUCGGCUCAUCUUGGCAGGGGUCUCUCGAGAGGCGUGGUCUCAGGUGGAGGAGGAGUUCCCAUGGAUCUGAGGCGCUCACUCCGGCUUCAUCUGCUCCUCACCAAUUACAGUUACAAAGACACUCCUCCUGAGGAAGACCACAUUUCCCAAGUAUCUGGAGUCAACAUUCAGACCACGGUUUGCUGAAGACAAGGAAAUGAAUGCCAAAUGUUCAAUGACCUCACUGAGCUCUUCUGAAGGGCCCUGGCUCACCUGCGGGGCCCUGGCUACCAGCAAUGUCUGGGCUUCUUUAUAGUAGUCCUGGUUAGACCCCUGCUGUCUCUGGUCCCUCUCCACAACCACUGCUUCUCUGUGACACUGGAGUGGGCAUCCGUUUGCAAAGCCUGACAAGGCUGUCAAUAGGUCAGGCAUCAAAUGGUUCUCAAAGCAAUUAUCCUGAAUAUUCCAUCCUCCGCCACAUACCUGCGCCUGCGUGGCUACUCACCAACAAAACUACCACGUGACUCUACCAGCCAGAGGGGCCUGUGGAUCCAGUGACCAACUGAUGAAAUCCAGGGAAGCAGCAUGGGGGAGGUGAGUGGCUAAGGGAACGAGCAGCUCCAGAAGCUGCUCUGUGCUUUCUGUCCCCUUUGCCCAGCCUGAGGACUGUGCUUGACCUCCCCUUGGGGCACGGUUGUUGCCACAGCCUGUGGUGACUUUGAGAAAGAUCACGACCAUAAAAAUGCUCAUGUGGGUACCCAUCUGUGACAAGAGGUGUGGUCUGACUGUCCACCUGAGCUUCUUCCCACCCUCAGCCUCUACCCUCUAAACUCCAGGGCACCCCUUCAUAUCUGCAAGAGGGUCUAGGAGCCCUGGUAAUUUAUGCUCACGUCUUUGACCCAGGCACUCUUAGGCAUGGCCAGCAGUGUUUCCUGCUCUGCCAGGCACAAGGUGGAGAGGCACCACAGAGAGAAAGGAACUUACGACCGCAGGUUACACAGACGUAAAACCAAGACACCAACAUAGACAGUAAUAGGAGUAAGCCUAGAGAAAAUGGAAAGCUUCAAAGAGGAUAAUACAAGAGGAAAAAAUGGUGCAUAAGAUGUGGAGAGGCAGGGCACAGGGGUGGCAGGGACCGAGUGAACCUGGGGAUCAGGCCAGGUAGCAGAGCCAGCAAGAUGGCUCAGUGGGAAGAAGAAGCAUUUGUCCUGCAAGCCCAACUACAUGAGUUCCGUUCUUGGAGCCAGUUUGUGUUGUAGGACUUGUGUACCCACAUGCACACACACAAAC